UCAGGACGAACGCUGGCGGCGUGCCUUAGACAUGCAAGUCGAGCGAGAACUUCGGUUCUAGCGGCAAACGGCGCAGUAAUACGUAAGCAACGUGCCCCUAAGACUGGGACAGUCCGGGGAAACCCGGUUUAAUACCAGAUGUGGUCGCUUUCCUGCCUGGGAAAGCGAUUAAAGGAUUUCGGUCGCUUAGGGAGCGGCUUACGACCUAUCAGGUAGUUGGUGAGGUAACGGCUCACCAAGCCUACGACGGGUAGCGGGUCUGAGAGGAUGAUCCGCGCGAGUGGGACUGAGACACGGACCACACACCUACGGGUGGCAGCAGUUUGGAAUAUUGCACAAUGGGGGAAACCCUGAUGCAGCGACGCCGCGUGGGGGAUGACGGAUUUCGGUCUGUAAACCCCUUUUGCCAGGAAAGACUUAGGACGGUACCUGGCGAAUAAGCCCCGGCUAACUACGUGCCAGCAGCCGCGGUAAUACGUAUGGGGCAAGCGUUGUCCGGAUUUACUGGGCGUAAAGGGCGCGCAGGCGGCCUGUUAAGUGUGACGUGCAAUCUCCUGGCUCAACCAGGAAAUUGCUUUGCAUACUGGCAGGCUAGAGAAAGGCAGAGGUAGAUGGAAUUCCCGGUGUAGCGGUGACAUGCGUUGAUAUCGGGAGGAACACCAUUGGCGAAGGCAGGCUACUGGGCCUCUUCUGACGCU
RNAcentral lists this ribosomal RNA (698 nucleotides) under uncultured organism. Its description in RNAcentral is "bacterial SSU rRNA". It matches the Rfam family "Bacterial small subunit ribosomal RNA", at positions 24 to 747 of the family's 1533-position model. The record is from RNAcentral.